This 253-nucleotide ribosomal RNA is filed under the name uncultured bacterium. RNAcentral describes it as "partial 16S ribosomal RNA". It matches the Rfam family "Bacterial small subunit ribosomal RNA", at positions 524 to 776 of the family's 1533-position model. The record is from RNAcentral.
UACGAAGGGGGCUAGCGUUGUUCGGAAUCACUGGGCGUAAAGGGUGCGUAGGCGGCUUGUUAAGUAGGGUGUGAAAUCCCCCGGCUCAACCGGGGAAUUGCGCCCUAAACUGGCGAGCUGGAGUGAGAUAGGGGUGUGUGGAACUUCCAGUGGAGCGGUGAAAUGUGUUGAUAUUGGAAGGAACGCCAGUGGCGAAAGCGACACACUGGGUCUCAACUGACGCUGAGGCACGAAAGCCAGGGGAGCAAACGGG